RNAcentral lists this ribosomal RNA (253 nucleotides) under uncultured bacterium. Its description in RNAcentral is "partial 16S ribosomal RNA". It matches the Rfam family "Bacterial small subunit ribosomal RNA", at positions 524 to 776 of the family's 1533-position model. The record is from RNAcentral.
UACGUAGGGGGCUAGCGUUGCUCGGAAUCACUGGGCGUAAAGCGCUCGUAGGCGGAUUGUUAAGUCAGGGGUGAAAUCCUGGAGCUCAACUCCAGAACUGCCUUUGAUACUGGCGAUCUCGAGUCCGGGAGAGGUGAGUGGAACUGCGAGUGUAGAGGUGAAAUUCGUAGAUAUUCGCAAGAACACCAGUGGCGAAGGCGGCCCACUGGAUCGGUACUGACGCUGAGGUGCGAAAGCGUGGGGAGCAAACAGG